Thunnus maccoyii (southern bluefin tuna) is the source of this 795-nucleotide long non-coding RNA. RefSeq lists it as uncharacterized. The record is from RefSeq and is a predicted model, not a curated record. NCBI's taxonomy places the organism in Eukaryota, Metazoa, Chordata, Actinopteri, Scombriformes, Scombridae. The transcript has 4 exons.
CUUACCAUUGCACCAAUAGAAAACAACCACAGAAGAAGAUGUUCCAUUAGACUAGCCAAUCAUGACUUACAUUUCCUUUAAUGGAAAAGUGUGCAUUGGUCGUGACAUCCGUGAGUAAGAACAUUGUCGCUGCCUGUCAGCUACAGGUCAUCAUCACAUAUGGACGAGCUGUGGAACUGAACAGACCAAGGUGGAGGGUGAGGUCAAAAUUACUCCUCGAAAGAUUUACAGAUAUGGCUCCAUAACAACACGAAUCCUAUUAAACUCCAGUGACUCCAGUUCAUGCCCUGUUGUGUCUGGUGUGCCUGCUGUGUCCUGGAUAGUGAUGUUGACCCCAGCCUUAACUGUUUUCUCCUUGUUCCUCUCUUUUAUUUUGGUUUAUCAUCUUAAUCAGAAAACAGAUAAGGACGUUCAUCAGAAAAUGCUUGACACCAGAGGUCAAACAAGAGGGAAUCAGGAUGAAGAUUUGUGUUUAACACGAGUUGUGUUCCGGGCUCAGCAUGGACAAACCCACCAGUAGGCAGAAGAUGGACAGAACAAACACUGAUUUAUUCAAGCAAAAGAAAAAAAGUGCGCAGUUUAAUUUGUUAUUUCCUCUUGCUUUUCCAGCCAGUUAUUGUAUGUGUGUGUGCAGCUGUGAGUACAUCAUUGAUGACGUCAUGAGGCUGAUAAUCAGCCUCAUAACAGCCUCUCUCUCAAUUCAUUUUAAAACAGCGCUUACUUGCUGACUUGUUUUGUUUGUUGUUUACAUUAAAAGCCAUGUGCUAGUAAAAAUACCAUGUUAUCAAAGUUAAU